This 2176-nucleotide long non-coding RNA is filed under the name Cicer arietinum (chickpea). RNAcentral describes it as "long non-coding RNA (CARI_LNC000814)". The record is from RNAcentral. Lineage: Eukaryota; Viridiplantae; Streptophyta; Magnoliopsida; Fabales; Fabaceae.
GAGCAUCAAGACUUGCAGACAUGAUGAUUAAUUUCAACGGAGAACUCUUAUCGCGGUGGUCUUUCUUAAGAAAAUUGCCAUUCUGACCAUUGUCUUUAUCCAAUGACAUGAAACCAUUCACAUUCUUGUCCCCAUUAUUAAGGUGCCGACCAUCGCUGGUAGAAUUUGACCGAGCAAGUUGGACAUUUUUUAGCAAGCCCAUCAAGACAUCAGUGUGGACGGUUCUCUCGUGCGCUUCAUCAACAAUUAUAACAGAAUACUUAGAAAGAUAAGGAUCCAGCAAUGCUUCCCUGUAAACACAAAUAUAAAAAAUGCUUAUGAAAUCUUCCAUAAGAAAAAUUGUACUGGUAAACCAUGAAAAACAGGAAAUUGUAAUUGGAAACCUCCUUAACUGUUUCAAAAGUUCAAAUCAUAUAAACCAUCUUAAACCCAUAUCAAUGACAGGAAAGGGGAUGUUACUCACCUAUCAUCUAAUACAAUUGACUCAAAAAAAUUUAUAUAAUAUCUUUUGUAGUUUGACAUCAAGAACGGAAUUAAAAAAAAAAAAAACAAUUAUUGUAUCAUGUCUUGAUAGGAAAUAGUCGCAGUAAUCUAAGAUAUGCAAAAGUUGUACCUCAGGAGCAAUCCAUCUGUCAUAUAUUUGAUCCUUGUUGAGUUGGAAGUAGAAUCAUCAAAUCUAACAGAGUAUCCAACCUUUUGGCCCAAAUCAACACCACAUUCAUCAGCAACUCGUUUGGCCACAGUGACAGCUGCAACACGUCUAGGCUGAGUUAUGCCAACAACUUUUCCUUCGCGGCAAAAUCCAGCAUCAAAUAAAAACUGCGGAAUCUCUACACAGUACAAUACAAUAGACAUAAACACAGUGAAACCCUCUAUCUCUAAAAAGCCCUUUUUACUUUCUUCUUAAAAAACUAAAUUAUAAAUAAUACAAUGAUAAUCACAUUGAUUAGAAGGAUAAGAUGUAACCUACGUGUGGUUUUUCCACUUCCAGUUUCACCAACAAUAAUCAAAAUAUCAUUCUUCCGAACCUCUUCAAUUAGUCUCUUCUCAACUACAACGGAAACAAUGCCAAAAGUUACAUAUUGUGAAAGUGGAAGUAAGAACAUGAAAGACAAGAAAAAAAAACUCAAAAAAAAAACAAUACCCGAAGCAAUAGGAAGAGACUUCUUCUGUUGUGCAAUAUUUUGUCUCCUGUAAUAAAAUUAACAGAUUGAAAUCAAACCAACAAGCUUAAACCCUAUUCCAAAUUUUGCCCCUUUUCUCCUAACACUUCAGGUGAUUCUAAAUAUGAAUUAAAAAGGCAUAAAGUUUUAUAUUCCAACAAUUUAUAAACAUGAUUGUUGUUCCGCAAUUGGCUUUGGAGAAAGGAAUGAAAUUUGAUGUGAAUUAGGAGAAGUAAUAGCAGGUAGAGGAAUGGUUUUACCUAUUCCGAUUUGCAUUGGAGGACUUGUCAUUGCCAUUAGCAGUGGGUUGGUGACUUCUACGAGCCACCGAAGGCAUUGGAGAUGGUACUAAAACUUGAGAUUUGAUAUUCAGGUGCUGUGAGUUGUUUCUUUCUGAGUUGAAAGAGGAAGAAGAAAGUGAGUGAUAGAGAGAGAGAGGGUUUGUAAUUAGUUUCUUUAACAGUAUGUUUGUUACGACUCCAGCACUGUUGGUGCAUAUACUCUCGGUAGCGGAGGAGGGGUGAACGGUGAUACGAAGGGAUAGUUAGGUGAAGCGGUGGUGAUGAUGACGGAGACGGCGGUGCCGUGGACUCUGCAAAAGUGUGGGGAACCGUGGAGGGAGGAGGGCGAAUAGGUUAGGAAUAAAUAAAUUUAGUAUUUAAAUUAUAUUAUAUAUUAUAGUGGUGGUGCUUCUCACUUCUUUAGCACCACCAAAGUACUCAGAAAAAGUGCGAGCAUCAAGACUUGCAGACAUGAUGAUUAAUUUCAACGGAGAACUCUUAUCGCGGUGGUCUUUCUUAAGAAAAUUGCCAUUCUGACCAUUGUCUUUAUCCAAUGACAUGAAACCAUUCACAUUCUUGUCCCCAUUAUUAAGGUGCCGACCAUCGCUGGUAGAAUUUGACCGAGCAAGUUGGACAUUUUUUAGCAAGCCCAUCAAGACAUCAGUGUGGACGGUUCUCUCGUGCGCUUCAUCAACAAUUAUAACAGAAUACUUAGAAAGAUAAGGAUCCAGC